UUCUUUCUCUAGAAUAUUACUUUCAUCCAACUUUCUCUAUCUUCUCUUCUCCUUCGUUUUACAACCCCAAUUCAAUUUGGAUUAUUUUAUGGGGUUUUCUUAUACAAGUAUAUAAUUUUCAUUAAUUUGCCUCUAUUAUAAAUAAUGUGGGAAUUAAUUUUCGAUAACAAUUCGAUUACUUGUUAGGGUUAUUCUUGUAGUUGAUGCUCUUAAUAAUUACCCCUUUCUUCUUUUCGUCUGCAAAUUCUUUUCCAAUCAAUAAAACUUAAUAAUUAUAUAAAAUUCUUGAAGAAUGAGCGUAAUAUUGUGGGAAAAAGCAGUAGAAAAAGGAGAAGAAAAAGAAGGUUGAAGAUAGUGGCAAAAAUGGAGGAGAGAGAAUAGAAAAUAAUGAUGUUUUAAUUCCUCCUGUCAAUUUUUGUAUGGUGGAAGUCUGGAAGAUGGACUUUACAGAUCUGGGUUUCAAUAACCUUCGAAUUUCGGCUUCCUCUAAACCCUAAGUCCCAAGUCUAUCAGAGAUAUUUGUGUACCGUGCUAUACCCAGAAUCGCAUUUGAAGUUUAUUGAAUCGCAUAAUAUUCGAUUGUGGUUUAAUUUUUUAUAUGGAGUAUUAAUUAUGAAAUUAUUGGUAGCUCAAAGAUGAAGGAAGGUUUUUGGAACAGACCUUCAAUGGAGCUGCAAUAAACAUUUUUGGAAAAAAAUUGAAAGUUCAGUACCUUCCAUAAUUUUUGUCAGAAUUUUAUUUUUUCUUUUUUUUUUUUUGUUGUUAACCGGUUGUUGUAGGUGGGAAAGUUUAGUACUGUUCCUUAAGUACUUUGCCUGAUACAAAUGAAAGUUCAGUACCUUGCCUGAUACAUUUUGCAAAGUUCAGUACCUAGUAGUGUAAAUAACUUGAUAAAGAACUUGUUUUAUCCAUA
This is a long non-coding RNA of Chenopodium quinoa (quinoa), 913 nucleotides long. RefSeq lists it as uncharacterized. NCBI's taxonomy places the organism in Eukaryota, Viridiplantae, Streptophyta, Magnoliopsida, Caryophyllales, Amaranthaceae. The record is from RefSeq and is a predicted model, not a curated record. The transcript has 2 exons.